GAUGAACGCUAGCGGCAGGCUUAAUACAUGCAAGUCGAGGGGCAUCAAGGUACACGAAAGUGUAUUGUUGGCGACCGGCGGACGGGUGAGUAAUAGGUAGGUAACCUACCUCAUACUGAGGCAUAGCUGGGAGAAAUUCCAGGUAAUUCCUCAUGAGGUUAUAUGACACAUGUGAUAUAAUCAAAGGUAUCGCAAGGUACUGGUAUGAGAUGGGCUUACUGACCAUUAGCUAGUUGGUGAGAUAAGAGCUCACCAAGGCGAAGAUGGUUAGGGGUUUUGAGAGAGAGAUCCCCCACAUUGGAACUGAGAUACGGUCCAGACUCCUACGGGAGGCAGCAGUAGGGAAUAUUGGGCAAUGGGCGAAGCCUGACCCAGCCAUGCCGCGUGAAGGAGACGGCCUUAUGGGUUGUAAACGUUCUUUACUAUGCGACUAACUAGAUUUACGAGAUAAUUCUAUAGAAUGUAGCAUAGCAAAAAGCACCGGA
RNAcentral lists this ribosomal RNA (485 nucleotides) under uncultured bacterium. Its description in RNAcentral is "bacterial SSU rRNA". It matches the Rfam family "Bacterial small subunit ribosomal RNA", at positions 28 to 497 of the family's 1533-position model. The record is from RNAcentral.